AGCGUCUGGAAAGAUUUAUCGGUUGGGGAUGGUCUCGCGGCCUAUCAGCUUGUUGGUGGGGUAAUGGCCUACCAAGGCGACGACGGGUAGCCGGCCUGAGAGGGCGACCGGCCACACUGGGACUGAGACACGGCCCAGACUCCUACGGGAGGCAGCAGUGGGGAAUAUUGCACAAUGGGCGCAAGCCUGAUGCAGCGACGCCGCGUGAGGGAUGAAGGCCUUCGGGUUGUAAACCUCUUUCAGCAGGGAAGAAGCGCAAGUGACGGUACCUGCAGAAGAAGCGCCGGCUAACUACGUGCCAGCAGCCGCGGUAAUACGUAGGGCGCAAGCGUUGUCCGGAAUUAUUGGGCGUAAAGAGCUCGUAGGCGGUUUGUCGCGUCUGGUGUGAAAUCUCGAGGCUCAACCUCGAGCUUGCAUCGGGUACGGGCAGACUAGAGUGCGGUAGGGGUGACUGGAAUUCCUGGUGUAGCGGUGGAAUGCGCAGAUAUCAGGAGGAACACCGAUGGCGAAGGCAGGUCACU
This 521-nucleotide ribosomal RNA is filed under the name Oerskovia sp. RNAcentral's name for it is "bacterial SSU rRNA". It matches the Rfam family "Bacterial small subunit ribosomal RNA", at positions 194 to 730 of the family's 1533-position model. The record is from RNAcentral. Lineage: Bacteria; Bacillati; Actinomycetota; Actinomycetes; Micrococcales; Cellulomonadaceae.